AAAGAAAUAAGUUCAGCACUAAGUCACUUUGUCUUUAUGGCAAAUGUGAGAUGCAGUGUAUGGAAUGUUCAAUUUCUAGUAUGAGAAAUUAACGAUUUAAGUCCUUCUUAAAUGAGGCCAUUUACCCAUAGAGGGUGCCAGGCCCGUAUAACGUUAAUGAUUACUAGAGAACAUUUCCAAAGAGUCGUGUUGCUUGAUAGUGCAGCACUAAGUGGGUGGUAAACUCCAUCUAAAACUAAAUAUAACCAUGAGACCGAUAGUAAACAAGUACCGUGAGGGAAAGUUGAAAAGAACUCUGAAUAGAGAGUUAAAUAGUACGUGAAACUGCUUAGAGGUUAAGCCCGAUGAACCUGAAUAUCCAUUAUGGAAAAUUCAUCAUUAUGAUUGUGAUAUGAAUAAUAUUAUAAUAAUGGUGUGCAUUUUUUCCAUAUAAGGACAUUGUAAUCUAUUAACAUGCCAUAAUUUAUCAUAAGAUCAAUGAUUAAAGUUUAUUCUUAUUAUUUUGCUUGCAAUUUAACAUGGAAUAAAUUCGUUGAUUUGAUAAAGUGUUGAUAGGCUUAUUAUAUACAGUGCUUGAAUAUUUAUAUUCUAUAAUAGCAUGGUAAUCAUUGAUUAUUGUGUUUAUUAUAUGCACUUGUAUGAUUAACAAUGCGAAAGAUUCAGGAUACCUUCGGGACCCGUCUUGAAACACGGACCAAGGAGUCUAACAUAUUUGCAAGUUAUUGGGAAUUAAAAACCUAAUAGCGAAAUUAACAUAACUUAUUAUUUAAUGGGAUUAGUUUUUGGCUAUUUAUAGUCUAUUAAUUCAAUCCCGGGGCGUUCUAUCAGUUAUGUAUUUUAAUACUUGUAUUAUUUAUACCUCUAACUAGAGCGUACCUUGAGCAUAUAUGCUGUGACCCGAAAGAUGGUGAACUAUACUUGAUCAGGUUGAAGUCAGGGGAAACCCUG
This 948-nucleotide ribosomal RNA is filed under the name Coenosia tigrina. RNAcentral describes it as "eukaryotic LSU rRNA". It matches the Rfam family "Eukaryotic large subunit ribosomal RNA", at positions 97 to 866 of the family's 3401-position model. Lineage: Eukaryota; Metazoa; Arthropoda; Insecta; Diptera; Muscidae. The record is from RNAcentral.